Molecule: ribosomal RNA, 492 nt
Filed under: uncultured bacterium
Lineage: Bacteria
Description: partial 16S ribosomal RNA
Rfam family: Bacterial small subunit ribosomal RNA
Source: RNAcentral
AGUGAGCGCUGGCGGUAGGCCUAACACAUGCAAGUCGAACGGCAGCACAGUAAGAGCUUGCUCUUACGGGUGGCGCGUGGCGGACGGGUGAGGAAUACAUCGGAAUCUACUUUUUCGUGGGGGAUAACGUAGGGAAACUUACGCUAAUACCGCAUACGACCUACGGGUGAAAGCAGGGGAUCUUCGGACCUUGCGCGAUUGAAUGAGCCGAUGUCGGAUUAGCUAGUUGGCGGGGUAAAGGCCCACCAAGGCGACGAUCCGUAGCUGGUCUGAGAGGAUGAUCAGCCACACUGGAACUGAGACACGGUCCAGACUCCUACGGGAGGCAGCAGUGGGGAAUAUUGGACAAUGGGCGCAAGCCUGAUCCAGCCAUACCGCGUGGGUGAAGAAGGCCUUCGGGUUGUAAAGCCCUUUUGUUGGGAAAGAAAAGCAGCAGGUUAAUACCCCGCUGUUCUGACGGUACCCAAAGAAUAAGCACCGGCUAACUUCGUG